CUUCUCCCCCUGGCUGUGUCUCUGCCUCUCUCUCAGUGUAUCUCAUGAGUAAAUAAAUAAAAUAUAUAAAAAAAAGAAAGUCCUGCUGCCUUCUCCAAUGAGGAUAGUAUUGGGGUAUAUAAGAAAUAAUCAUAUGUAUGGCUUGAGAUUUAAAAAAAAUGCCUUCCAAAUGUUUUUAGUUUAUUGAGCUCCUUAACAUGUAAGACCUCUUUUUUUUUGUUGUUGUUUUAAUCAUUCUCUGGUGUGAAAGGAAGCUAGUGAGAACCAUCCCUGUUUUACAGGAGAGGAUACUCAAAGAAGUGAAGUGACUUUCCCAAGUUCCUCAACUAUAGAUUUUGAAAGAACUGAGAUUCAGAUCCAGAUGGGUUGACUUUAAAGACCAAGUUUUGUUUAUCGAGAUUGCAGUUCCCUCCCAUGAGCUGAAUUAAACAAGCAAAACUUAAACGAAGAACUAAGUAGGAUUGUGUUUUCAAACACAUCCUCUUUACAUCAUUAAGCAGCUACUAGAUGCCAGCGUUGUUCCUGGCAGGCACUGCAGAGGCGGGAGUACAGACAGAGCACGUGCCCUCAGGCUGUAGGCAUGUCAUUGGCUCUGGAAGCUGCAGGAAAGGAAAUGACUGCCUUGAGAGCAGCAGGAACAAAUCACCAGGAGAGCACAGUGAGGAAGUAAAAGCCUCACUGUCAGGAAUUCACCUAACCUAGAAAAACACCCUUCCUCACUUCCAGUGUGUUUCUUAACUAAACACCUGCUUAACACAGAUUGAAACCAUCACACCUUUGUUGUACAGGUUGGUUUGUAUGUGUGAAGCUGGGAACACCCCCAAGCUCAUUGGAUCACAUAUGGAAACACUUGCAAUGAGGUCACCACGUUUUCAUGUUCCCUGUUAUCUCUCUCCCUUUCAGUGAUGUCCUUGGACGUACGGAUCACUGGCAGCCUCACAGGGGCAUAGCACAAUUCUUCCCUGAGUGUGAAGACAGAAGUUGCAGUAUAAACUCAAAAGAUUUCAGUCUAACCUCACUCAUUUGUGCAAACACCAACCUCAUGAAACUCAUGAAAUGUGCUUCUGUAGCGUUCUAGUCACAUUGUUGCUGAGUUGCCUGAUGCACAGGGUCAAAGAAAGAAACGGGCAGUUGCCCUAAGGUGACAGACGCGUCAAGGAGAGGGGGCACCAGAUGGAGCACCCUGAAGGAAAUGCUGAAACUCAGAAUCUGAUGGUCUGUAGAUUUUCUUGGGUCAGUCAAACCCUAGUUUCAAUCCUGACUUCCUGCUCAUCUUUAUGAAGGGUUUUCCAGACUCCUUGGUGGUAGCCAGGGGCAAGAGGUCGCUCCAGGAAGCAAGCACACAGUCCCGCAUUGACAAAAGCUAUUAAUUAUCCUCUCUCCCAUAAAGCUGGGUCACCUAGUAGAACAAAUGGGACGGUGUAGUUGCACACUUAGUUCAUUCACCCUGGCCAUAAGUCAGUGUAGGAGAGGGUAGGAUGCUCCCAUUCUCAUGGCUCUCUUGAGAAUACAGGAUGCUGAUAAGCUUUUUCUUAGUUGUGACCCAAGGUUUAGCUCCUGUGAGGUUACUCUUUAUCUUCUGACUAAGCCUUCCAAAGGCCCGUCGCAAACCCUCCUCUAAGGCGAAGUAGACGAGACCAUGUGUUAUUCCUAACCUGAUGACUAUUUCCUUCUUUGACCUGUGACUCUUCUCAGAUAAUAUUAUUACAAGAUUUACUGUAGUGAGAACAACCAGUAGUGGUUUCUGUAGUGCUGAGUAAUAGGCAGAUCCUCUGUUCUUCUUGGUUAAAUUCCAUCUGUCUGGUUUAUUUUCCUUUUUUGUGGAUGAUCCAUACUCUUUGCCUUUCUUCUCACUAUUUUGCUUAUAUUUUACUAACCAAAGCCAGCUCUUCUAAACUUAUUCAUAUAGUAUGCUCUACUUAUAUCAGAUACAGAAUUUUUCACAGAAUACAUAUGCACGUGAUCAUGUCUAUAUAUAGUUUUUAAGCACAUGUGCAUGUGUGUGAUUUGCCACCAACUCUACGUGUCUUUCUAAAUAUCUCCCUAUAAAAGAGAUCCUUUUCUCCUGAUUGUCACACUUCAUAACUUGGAAUCUCAAGUUCCCUGAAAUGGGACUGGAGAUUAAUUCUCAUUGCUGAUAGGGCUAAAUCAGUGAAUUACUAUUUCUUGGCCAUAUCAAGGUUUCUGGGUGAAGGGCUCUGAAAUUGGUAUUUCCCAAAAGCUGUGGGGGUGGUUUUAAUGGCAGAUUCUCAGUUUCAGCCUUCUAGAAGGGCUGUUGGUUUGACUCAGAGAAAGCUAGGCUCAAAAAACUGUCUUCCUCAUUUAGUCAGUCAAUAUUUGUUGGCAACAAUUAUUCAGUAAGCAACUCAAAUUAAAUUCCCUGCCUAGUGUAGGGUGACAGUGGUAGCUUUGAAGGUAGAGGACAUGCUACUGACUUUCAUAAUUUUAGAUCUCCCUGAUUGAGUGAAUGGAAAAACAGGACAACUGAUUCCUGAUUCUUAAGUAUAGGCAUACAAAGAUACAAAGCUCCCUUCUCACUUUCUAUUUUCUCUUGGUGAAAUGUAGUUAUCAUAAAUGCAAAUUAAGGCCCUAACAUGUGCUGGACAAACUCUUGUGGUAAAGUAGUCAAAACGAGAUGCAGACUCUUCCUUGCUAAAUUAAGAGGUAUUAUAAUUUUUUAAAAAAGAUUUUAUGUAUUUAUUCAUAAGAGACACAGAGAGAUAGAGAGGCAGAGACACAGGCAGAGGGAGAAGCAGGCUCCAUGCAGAGAGCCUGACGCGGGACUCGAUCCUGGGACUCCAGGACCAUGCCCUGGGCUGAAGGCAGGGGCUAAACCGCUGAGCCACCCAGGGAUCCCCAAGAGGUAUUGUAAUUGUGAUAAGCGACAUGAAGGAGAAGUCCAGGACACUCAUUUCAUUUAAGAGGUGUACAAAAAAAAAA
RNAcentral lists this long non-coding RNA (2940 nucleotides) under Canis lupus familiaris (dog). RNAcentral describes it as "lncRNA (ENSCAFG00000052520.1)". Lineage: Eukaryota; Metazoa; Chordata; Mammalia; Carnivora; Canidae. The record is from RNAcentral.